This 76-nucleotide transfer RNA is filed under the name Patescibacteria group bacterium. RNAcentral's name for it is "tRNA-Ile". It matches the Rfam family "tRNA". From Rfam's summary of the family: Transfer RNA (tRNA) molecules are approximately 80 nucleotides in length. The record is from RNAcentral.
GCAAGCGUAGCUCAGUUGGUAGAGCGCCCGCCUGAUACGCGGAUGGUCGAAGGUUCGACUCCUUCCGCUUGCACCA